Molecule: long non-coding RNA, 1036 nt
Filed under: Cricetulus griseus (Chinese hamster)
Lineage: Eukaryota; Metazoa; Chordata; Mammalia; Rodentia; Cricetidae
Description: lncRNA (ENSCGRG00015032844.1)
Source: RNAcentral
CUCUGACCUGCAGAAGGCUGGACCCUCUGCAGAACAUCAAGGUUGAGCCUAGGUUGUCGAGGGCCAUGGCUGGCGUCUCACCUUCAACACUAAACUUUCUGGUGAUUCUGCUGGGCCCUCCAACCACGUCUGAACUGGUUCCGGUCUCAAGGUUUCAAUAUGUGGCUGUCCUAGAGGCUCAAAGUGCUGGUCCAAGAUCCACUAAGGAUAGCUGACUUUCCAGGCCAGUGGUGAUGAAAUCCGGAGGCCUCCUCUCACUCCGCUAGGAACCUGCUUAGAGGCAACCGGGAAGGAAGUGAAGAGGAUGAGGCUGAAGUGGCCAGGUAAGGUCUCGGUGCUGGUUGGCUCUUUGUCAACUUGACACAAGCUUGAGUCACCUCACUUGAGAAAAAUGCCUCCAUUGGAUUGGCUUGUGGGUUCUGGGAUUAUGGACUUUGAAUCUCUUCCUAUGUUCCCCUUCUCUGCAGAACCCUGGCUCUCACUACAUCUGAAAAUAUGAUGAGUGCCCACACUCAUGUGUCAGACACACAAUCCACCAAUAGUAAAAUGCACCUUCCAUUCUCUCCUGGAGACCAGGCCGGCCUUGAACCGGGAGAUCCGCCUGCCUCUGCCUCCUGAGUACUGAGACUAAAGGUGUGCGCCACCAACGCCCUGUGCUCCACACGCUUGGUGCAGCUUCCUUCCCUCACCCUACUUACUGUUCCCUGGGAGACUGGCUAGUCCUGGCUUAGUCCCAAGAGCUUCCUGGGAACUUGCUGUCCCAGGAAAUCUUUCUUUCUCCAGUUGUCAUUCGCUCUAAGGCUUUCCCUCUGGGGAUGGAAGCAGGGAAUCAGCUAAUCUUCCAUGAGAAGUCGAGACUUGCCAGCACUGCUCAGGCAACCUCAGGUCAAGCCAAUCUUUGAGCAGAGAAGCCAAACUGGCACUUCUAUCCUAGUUGUUAAAGCCCAGGCGGGGACUUGACGCCUGCCUACCUGUGCCCUUCCAGACACCCCUACAGUCACCAGCCACACUCAAAAUCCCAGACCUUUUAGAAGUG